This is a long non-coding RNA of Oncorhynchus keta (chum salmon), 2788 nucleotides long. RefSeq lists it as uncharacterized. The record is from RefSeq and is a predicted model, not a curated record. The transcript is spliced from 3 exons. Lineage: Eukaryota; Metazoa; Chordata; Actinopteri; Salmoniformes; Salmonidae.
UCAUUCCCAUACUGUUUUUAUACUGUUUUUAUUUAUUUACUUUUCUGCUCUUUUGCACACCAAUAUCUCUACCUGUACAUGCCCAUCUGAUCAUUUAUCACUCCAGUGUUAAUCUGCAAAAUUGUAUUAUUCGCCUACCUCCUCAUGCCUUUUGCACACAUUGUAUAUAGACUGCCCAUUUUUUUCUACUGUGUUAUUGACUUGCUAAUUGUUUACUCCAUGUGUAACUCUGUGUUGUCUGUUCACACUGCUAUGCUUUAUCUUGGCCAGGUCGCAGUUGCAAAUGAGAACUUGUUCUCAACUAGCCUACCUGGUUAAAUAAAGGUGAAAUAAAAAAAAUAAAAAAAGUGUAGUGUAGUGUUAGUGUAGUGUUAGUGUAGUGUAGUGUUAGUGUAGUGUUAGUGUAGUGUAGUGUUAGUGUUGUGUUAGUGUAGUGUUAGUGUAGUGUAGUGUUAGUGUAGUGUUAGUGUAGUGUAGUGUUAGUGUAGUGUUAUAGUGUAGUGUAGUGUUAGUGUAGUGUAGUGUUAUAGUGUAGUGUAGUGUUAGUGUAGUGUUAGUGUAGUGUUAGUGUAGUGUUAUAGUGUAGUGUAGUGUUAGUGUAGUGUAGUGUUAGUGUAGUGUAGUGUUAGUGUAGUGUUAGUGUAGUGUUAGUGUAGUGUUAUAGUGUAGUGUAGUGUUAGUGUAUUGUUAGUGUAGUGUAGUGUUAGUGUAGUGUUAGUGUAGUGUUAUAGUGUAGUGUUAGUGUAGUGUUAGUGUAGUGUAGUGUUAGUGUAGUGUUAGUGUAGUGUAGUGUUAGUGUAGUGUAGUGUAAGUGUAGUGUUAGUGUAGUGUUAGUGUUAGUGUAGUGUUAGUGUAGUGUUAGUGUAGUGUAGUGUAGUGUAGUGUUAGUGUAGUGUUAGUGUUAGUGUAGUGUAGUGUAGUGUUAGUGUAGUGUUAGUGUAGUGUAGUGUUAGUGUAGUUGUAGUGUAGUGUAGUAUUAGUGUAGUGUUAGUGUAGUAUUAGUGUAGUGUUAGUGUAGUGUAGUGUUAGUGUAGUAUUAGUGUAGUGUUAGUGUAGUGUAGUGUUAGUGUAGUGUAGUGUUAGUGUAGUGUUAGUGUAGUGUAGUGUUAGUGUAGUGUAGUGUUAGUGUAGUGUAGUGUUAGUGUAGUGUUAGUGUAGUGUUAAUGUAGUGCAGUGUUAGUGUAGUGUAGUAUUAGUGUAGUGUUAGUGUAGUGUAGUGUUAGUGUAGUGUUAGUGUAGUGUAGUGUUAGUGUAGUGUUAGUGUAGUGUUAGUGUAGUGUAGUGUUAGUGUAGUAUUAGUGUAGUGUAGUAUUAGUGUAGUGUUAGUGUAGUGUAGUGUAGUGUUAGUUUAGUGUUAGUGUAGUGUAGUGUUAGUGUAGUGUUAGUGUAGUGUUAGUGCAGUGUAGUGUAGUGUUAGUGUAGUGUUAGUGUAGUGUAGUGUUAGUGUAGUGUUAGUGUAGUGUAGUGUUAGUGUAGUGUAGUGUUAGUGUAGUGUUAUGUUAGUGUAGUGUUAGUGUAGUGUUAGUGUAGUGUUAGUGCAGUGUAGUGUAGUGUUAGUGUAGUGUUAGUGUAGUAUUAGUGUAGUGUUAGUGUAGUGUUAAUAUAGUGUAGUAUUAGUGUAGUGUUAGUGUAGUGUAUUGUGGUGUAGUACAGGUGUUAUUGUAGUGUAUUGUGGUGUAGUGUAGGUGUUAGUGUUGUGUAUUUUGGUGUCGGUGUUAGUGUGGUGUGUAGUGUAGUGUAUUGUGGUGUGUAGUGUAGGUGUAGUGUGGUGUGUAGUGUAAGUGUAGUGUUUAGGUGUAGUGUAGGUGUAGUGUGUAGUGUAUGUGUGGUGUAGGUGUAGUGUAGGUGUAGCGUAGGUGUAGUGUAUGUGUGGUGUAGGUGUAGUGUAGGUGUUGUGUAGAUGUAGUGUAAGUGUAGUGUUUAGGUGUAGUGUAGGUGUAGUGUGUGGUGUAGGUGUAGUGUAGGUGUAGCGUAGGUGUAGUGUGUACAGUGUGUGAAGCCUCAUCCUCUCCUCUUGGCUGUCCUCUGUCUCCUGUCUAUCCAGGGAAGAUAGGACAUAGUGUAUAAUGUAUAAUGUAUAAUGUAUAGUGUAUAGUGUAUUUUUUUAUUUUUUUAUUUCACCUUUAUUUAACCAGGUAGGCAAGUUGAGAACAAGUUCUCAUUUACAAUUGCGACCUGGCCAAGAUAAAGCAAAGCAGUUCGACAGAUACAACGACACAGAGUUACACAUGGAGUAAAACAAACAUACAGUCAAUAAUACAGUAGAAACAAGUCUAUAAACAAUGUGAGCAAAUGAGGUGAGAUAAGGGAGGUAAAGGCAAAAAAAGGCCAUGGUGGCAAAGUAAAUACAAUAUAGCAAGUAAAACACUGGAAUGGUAGUUUUGCAAUGGAAGAAUGUGCAAAGUAGAAAUACAAAUAAUGGGGUGCAAAGGAGCAAAAUAAAUAAAUCAAUUAAAUACAGUUGGGAAAGAGGUAGUUGUUUGGGCUAAAUUAUAGGUGGGCUAUGUACAGGUGCAGUAAUCUGUGAACUGCUCUGACAGUUGGUGCUUAAAGCUAAUGAGGGAGAUAAGUGUUUCCAGUUUCAGAGAUUUUUGUAGUUCGUUCCAGUCAUUGGCAGCAGAGAACUGGAAGGAGAGGCGGCCGAAGAAAUACUUGGUUUUGGGGGUGACUAGAGAGAUAUACCUGCUGGUGUGUGUGCUACAGGUGGGAGAUGCUAUGGUGACCAGCGAGCUGAGAUAAGGGGGGACUUUACCUAGCAGGGUCUUGUAGUGUAUAGUGUAUAGUGUAG